RNAcentral lists this non-coding RNA (101 nucleotides) under Lachnoclostridium phytofermentans. RNAcentral's name for it is "pemK RNA". It matches the Rfam family "pemK RNA". The record is from RNAcentral. Lineage: Bacteria; Bacillati; Bacillota; Clostridia; Lachnospirales; Lachnospiraceae.
AUAAUGAUACUUCUGUCUCGUCCUAAAGUCGAGCGUGAUAAAACCGUCGCAACAAAGGAGGGCAGCCCGGAGAGAUCCUCGGGGAGGUGAAAUUCCUAUGA